CAGCCGCCGCGGGAACACGUAGGGUGCAAGCGUUAAUCGGAAUUACUGGGCGUAAAGCGUGCGCAGGCGGUUAUAUAAGACAGAUGUGAAAUCCCCGGGCUCAACCUGGGAACUGCAUUUGUGACUGUAUAGCUAGAGUACGGCAGAGGGGGAUGGAAUUCCGCGUGUAGCAGUGAAAUGCGUAGAUAUGCGGAGGAACACCGAUGGCGAAGGCAAUCCCCUGGGCCUGUACUGACGCUCAUGCACGAAAGCGUGGGGAGCAAACAGGAUUAGAUACCCCCGUAGUCCCUGUCUCUUAUAA
Molecule: ribosomal RNA, 301 nt
Filed under: uncultured bacterium
Lineage: Bacteria
Description: partial 16S ribosomal RNA
Rfam family: Bacterial small subunit ribosomal RNA
Source: RNAcentral